This 433-nucleotide ribosomal RNA is filed under the name uncultured bacterium. RNAcentral describes it as "partial 16S ribosomal RNA". It matches the Rfam family "Bacterial small subunit ribosomal RNA", at positions 29 to 507 of the family's 1533-position model. The record is from RNAcentral.
AACGAACGCUGGCGGCAUGCCUAACACAUGCAAGUCGAACGAGACCUUCGGGUCUAGUGGCGCACGGGUGCGUAACGCGUGGGAAUCUGCCCUUCGGUUGGGAAUAACUGAGAGAAAUUUCAGCUAAUACCUUAUAAUGUCUUCGGACCAAAGAUUUAUCGCCGAGGGAUGAGCCCGCGUAGGAUUAGGUAGUUGGUGGGGUAAUGGCCCACCAAGCCGACGAUCCUUAGCUGGUCUGAGAGGAUGAUCAGCCACACUGGGACUGAGACACGGCCCAGACUCCUACGGGAGGCAGCAGUGGGGAAUAUUGGACAAUGGGCGAAAGCCUGAUCCAGCAAUGCCGCGUGAGUGAUGAAGGCCUUAGGGUUGUAAAGCUCUUUUACCCGGGAUGAUAAUGACAGUACCGGGAGAAUAAGCUCCGGCUAACUCCGUG